CUGCGGAAGGAUCAUUGUCGAAUCCUGCCCCUACAAAGACCGCGAACCAGUUAUCAAAAACCCGGGGCGCGGGCGGGCGAGGGGAAGCUUUCCCAGCGCCCGUCGGCCCUCGCACAAAACCUAACUCUCGGCGCGGGAUGCGCCAAGGACUACUGAAACGGAUUGCCCGGGCGCCGGCUCACGCCGGUCGCGCGCGGCGUCUGGUCGUUCUAAUCGAAACGACUCUCGGCAACGGAUAUCUAGGCUCUCGCAUCGAUGAAGAACGUAGCGAAAUGCGAUACUUGGUGUGAAUUGCAGAAUCCCGUGAACCAUCGAGUUUUUGAACGCAAGUUGCGCCCGAAGCCAACAGGCCGAGGGCACGUCUGCCUGGGCGUCACGCAUCGCGUCGCCACCCCCCCCACCCGCGCGCUCGGUCGCGUUCUCGGGCGGGGAUGACGGAUGUUGGCCUCCCGUGCCCCCCGCGGCGCGGCCGGCCUAAAUGCGAGCCCCCGGCGCGGGACGUCGCGGCAAGUGGUGGUUGAACUGCUCAAUCGUGUGCUGCCGGGACGACCCUCGACGGGAGCGAAACGACCCCGGAGCCCGUCAAGGGCCCCAGACCGCGACCCCAGGUCAGGCGGGAUUAC
RNAcentral lists this ribosomal RNA (623 nucleotides) under Pagamea guianensis. Its description in RNAcentral is "eukaryotic LSU rRNA". The stretch from base 221 to 376 matches the Rfam family "5.8S ribosomal RNA". The record is from RNAcentral. Lineage: Eukaryota; Viridiplantae; Streptophyta; Magnoliopsida; Gentianales; Rubiaceae.